Molecule: ribosomal RNA, 229 nt
Filed under: uncultured bacterium
Lineage: Bacteria
Description: partial 16S ribosomal RNA
Rfam family: Bacterial small subunit ribosomal RNA
Source: RNAcentral
CGUGUAGGCGGUUGGAAAAGUCAGGUGUGAAAUGUUUCAGCUCAACUGGGACACUGCGCCUGAAACUUUCUGACUGGAGUUCGGGAGGGGUUGUCGGAAUUCCUGGUGUAACGGUGAAAUGUGUAGAUAUCAGGAGGAACACCGGUGGCGAAGGCGGACAACUGGACCGAAACUGACGAUGAGACGCGAAAGCGUGGGGAGCAAACAGGAUUAGAUACCCUGGUAGUCC